This is a long non-coding RNA of Cervus elaphus (red deer), 1649 nucleotides long. RefSeq lists it as uncharacterized. The record is from RefSeq and is a predicted model, not a curated record. Lineage: Eukaryota; Metazoa; Chordata; Mammalia; Artiodactyla; Cervidae. The transcript is spliced from 3 exons.
AGAGGUGGACAUCCCCACCCUCGUAAAUCUUUCAAAAACAAAACCCGCUAACCAUGGCAUAUCCUCACACGUUUUCCCGCACUUUGCUUUCCCUCACUUAAGUGUCUGCUGGGUUGGGUACCCAUUAGUGUAGGAGCCGUCCUGCGCUUUCCCGCGACAGCACGUCACUUCUCCGAAAGGAGGAACGAACUCGUUUCACCUUGUCCCUGGUUUCGCGGGCAAGACCGGAAGAUCAGCCUCCGCGAGGAAGCCGAGGGAACUGGAGCUAAGGGGACCCAAACUGCUGGGAGGGAAUACCUAACGUGGCCGUGGGGCUUCGUCAGCCCGGAGCCGAGUCCAGGAAGGGCAGGGCCCGUUGCCCGCGAGGCCGCCCCACCGCCCCGACAAGCACCGAGGCCCAGAGAGAGCACCCAGCGACGGCGGCCAGGCCACUUCCGGCCGCGCAGUGGGGGCCGCCAUCUUGGACUCUUGGCCACCUAAACGACAACAAAGACGGCGGGACACUGCGGAAGCUGUCUUUCUCCGGGAGCCUACUGCGAUCCCAGCUCACAGAUCGCCGGGUGUCCCAAAAACAGACCGGCCCCUCAGCGUUCCGUACCGCCACACAGGGAGCCGCCAUCUUGUACUGCAGAACUCUCCAUUUCCGGGACCGGCCGCUGACGUGACUCGUGAGGUGCGAGCCAACAAAGGCGGCGCGAGCGCCGUCUGGCGGUAGCGCCGCAAAAGCGCCGACAGCUAUGACCCGACGAGGAUUCUGCUUCCGGGUCUCCGAGGGGGCGGGUCGCUGACCCAAGCGCCGGGCAGGGGCGUGGCUGGGGUGGCCUGGGGAGCAUGCGCAUCGACGUUGGAGCGGGGCGGGGCUCGGCCUGCUCAGGUUGAGGGUCCUAAGUGAAAGUGAAAGGUGAAAGUCGCUCCGUCUUGUCGGACUCUUUGCGACACCAUGGAGCACGCCAGGCCUCCCUGUCCAUCACCAACUCCCGGAGCUUGCUCAAACUCAUGUCCAUCGAGACAGCCUGUGCCGCCCUGGGUCACAUCUGGAGGAGCCUCCUGGGCAGGGGCAGUUGAUACGGCACAGGGGGCAGCGCGGUGCACGCGGUGGGGCCAUUGCUGCCCGGAGCUGAGGACGCUUCCGCAGAGGGUGGCCACGGAGCAGACAAGGCGUGAAAGUACCUGCUCAGCUGCCGAGCCCAGCACCGCGUCGCUGUGCUACUUGGCUUGUGGGACCCUAGUUCCCCAUCCAGGGAUCGAACUUGGACCCUGGCAGUGAAAGCACCAAGAGUCCUAACCACUAGACUGCCAGGGAAUUCCCCUUGCAGUUGUCUUUUAAGCAAAAGAGAAUAAUAAAAAAGCUACAAAAGUAUAUUAUGUUAUUGCUUACAUUUAUCUUCAUUGGUCCUCUUUUCCCCUGUAUUUGGAAUCAAGUUAAUGACUAGUAUCAUUUCACUUUAGCCUGAAAGAUUCCCUUUAUUAUUUAUUGGAAUGCAGGUUUGCUAGCAACAAAUUCUCUCAAUCUUUGUUUAUCUUGGAAUCAUCAUUGCUGUUUCAUUUUUAUUUUAGCAUUAUCAGUUCAGUUGCUCAGUCGUGUCCGACUCUUUACAACCCCAUGGACUGCAGCACGCCAGGCCCCCUGUCCAUCACCAACUCCUGGA